This 45-nucleotide non-coding RNA is filed under the name Trichobilharzia regenti. The record is from RNAcentral. Lineage: Eukaryota; Metazoa; Platyhelminthes; Trematoda; Strigeidida; Schistosomatidae.
AUCCAGCCGACGAGUCCCGAAUAGGACGAAAUGCGCAUCCUGGAU